Molecule: ribosomal RNA, 275 nt
Filed under: uncultured bacterium
Lineage: Bacteria
Description: partial 16S ribosomal RNA
Rfam family: Bacterial small subunit ribosomal RNA
Source: RNAcentral
GCGUGAGUGAUGAAGGCCCUAGGGUUGUAAAGCUCUUUUACCCGGGAUGAUAAUGACAGUACCGGGAGAAUAAGCUCCGGCUAACUCCGUGCCAGCAGCCGCGGUAAUACGGAGGGAGCUAGCGUUGUUCGGAUAUACUGGGCGUAAAGCGCACGUAGGCGGCGCCGUAAGUCAGGGGUGAAAUCCCGGAGCUCAACUCCGGAACUGCCCUUGAAACUGCAGUGCUAGAAUCCUGGAGAGGCGAGUGGAAUUCCGAGUGUAGAGGUGAAAUUCGU